UUAUGAGAGUUUGAUCCUGGCUCAGGACGAACGCUGGCGGCGUGCCUAAUACAUGCAAGUCGAACGCUUUUUCUUUCACCGGAGCUUGCUCCACCGAAAGAAAAAGAGUGGCGAACGGGUGAGUAACACGUGGGUAACCUGCCCAUCAGAAGGGGAUAACACUUGGAAACAGGUGCUAAUACCGUAUAACACUAUUUUCCGCAUGGAAGAAAGUUGAAAGGCGCUUUUGCGUCACUGAUGGAUGGACCCGCGGUGCAUUAGCUAGUUGGUGAGGUAACGGCUCACCAAGGCAACGAUGCAUAGCCGACCUGAGAGGGUGAUCGGCCACACUGGGACUGAGACACGGCCCAGACUCCUACGGGAGGCAGCAGUAGGGAAUCUUCGGCAAUGGACGAAAGUCUGACCGAGCAACGCCGC
RNAcentral lists this ribosomal RNA (417 nucleotides) under Listeria monocytogenes. RNAcentral describes it as "bacterial SSU rRNA". It matches the Rfam family "Bacterial small subunit ribosomal RNA", at positions 1 to 400 of the family's 1533-position model. Lineage: Bacteria; Bacillati; Bacillota; Bacilli; Caryophanales; Listeriaceae. The record is from RNAcentral.